Molecule: ribosomal RNA, 435 nt
Filed under: uncultured bacterium
Lineage: Bacteria
Description: bacterial SSU rRNA
Rfam family: Bacterial small subunit ribosomal RNA
Source: RNAcentral
GUUUGAUCUUGGCUCAGGAUGAACGCUAGCGGGAGGCCUAAUACAUGCAAGUCGAGCGGUAUCUCGUCUUCGGACGAGAGAGAGCGGCGCACGGGUGAGUAACGCGUACAUGACCUACCUUCAAGACCGGGAUAGCCCUGGGAAACUGGGAUUAAUACCGGAUGUGAUAAUAGAUAUAGAGAUUUAUUAUUAAAGUUGAGGCGCUUGGAGAUGGGUGUGCGUCUGAUUAGCUAGUUGGUGAGGUAACGGCUCACCAAGGCGACGAUCAGUAGGGGGCGUGAGAGCGUGACCCCCCACACGGGUACUGAGACACGGACCCGACUCCUACGGGAGGCAGCAGUAAGGAAUAUUGGUCAAUGGGCGCAAGCCUGAACCAGCCAUCCCGCGUGCAGGAUGAAGGUCCUAUGGAUUGUAAACUGCUUUUAUCAGGGAAGA